Callithrix jacchus (white-tufted-ear marmoset) is the source of this 136-nucleotide small nucleolar RNA. Its record names the gene U8. It matches the Rfam family "U8 small nucleolar RNA". From Rfam's summary of the family: U8 is a member of the C/D class of snoRNA which contain the C (UGAUGA) and D (CUGA) box motifs. U8 is the RNA component of a small complex (the U8 snoRNP) which is required for accumulation of mature large subunit ribosomal RNAs, 5.8S and 28S rRNAs. The record is from Ensembl. NCBI's taxonomy places the organism in Eukaryota, Metazoa, Chordata, Mammalia, Primates, Cebidae.
UUAUCAGGUGGGAUAAUCUUUACCGGUUCCUCCUUUUGGAGGGUAGAUUCGAAUAUGAUGAUUGGAGUUGGUAUUGUACGUGAUUAACGUCUCUGCAUAAUCAGGACUUGCAACACCUUGAUCGCUCCUAUCUGAU